ACCCCGCCGGCGCGCGCAUCCUACGCACGCACGCGGGGCUGCUCCGAGCAGCCCGCCCACUCCACACACACGCGCACACGCACGAUCGGCGCCCCGCCCCACCUCCGCGCGCAGAGCCACGCCCACUGGCCCUAAGGGAGCGCGGGGAAAGGCUGGAGUGCGCAGGCGUGGAUUGUGUGACGUCAUCUGGGACAGGGUGGCUGGCUCCCACGUGAGGCCCUCGCCGGGUAGGAAGGCGGCCCCUCCCCCCCUGCGGGGAGCUCCGCGCGCAGACAAAGGCAGGGAGGAUGUAGAUGAUGCUCCCGGGUGAUGCUGCAGCCCCUGCUCUUGCCCCGCUGGCUCCCUUCCCGCUGCAGCCCGAGAAGCAGGCUCCGCCUCAGCCUCUGACCCUCCUCCCCCUGCGAGCGUGCACAGUGUCGCCUCUCGAAAUGGAGGACAUGCCCAUUUAUGAUCUGACAUCUGGCUGGAGAAGCAACUGUAUCAGAGAUUGGAAGGAUUGUUCAUGUCGGAAAACCAACACUGCCUUAGCUCCUCUGGACCCACCCAAAAGACUUUGUACCAGUGGAAGUGAAGGUGACCCAAACUCCCUGUACCACCACUGGAUGACCUUGGCAUUUCACAUGCAAAUAUCAGAAGGGAAACAACAGGAAGAUACAACAACCUCAGCAAAUUCAUUGAUUCCUGUCCACCCCCUCCCCACUUGGAAAACAAAAAUGAAAAACCAGGUAAUUUGUAAAGCGAAAAAGUGCCAAGUUUAUUGAAUGAAUUCUUCACAAUUUCACUUUCAAGCAAUGGACUACUUGCUGAUGGCAGAGUGGAAAUCAGAGCUAGAGCUUUUCUGUGAUAAUCCUGAAUAUACUAAAGAAGAGAUGACAUUAAGACCUACUACAUUCAGAUAAAAACACUGGCAUCUCAAUAAGCAGGUAGACACAAUGACUCCUGUCAAACGGUGCCAGUGGUAUCAUCUGUCUUCUGUUACAAUCAAGGCAAGAAGACUUGAUGUUCUCCUCAUUUAGACACAUGUAUUCUAUCGUGUUACAGAUGCAUCUGGG
This 1052-nucleotide long non-coding RNA is filed under the name Crocodylus porosus (Australian saltwater crocodile). RNAcentral's name for it is "lncRNA (ENSCPRG00005017548.1)". The record is from RNAcentral. Lineage: Eukaryota; Metazoa; Chordata; Crocodylia; Crocodylidae.